AAUAAAAAUAUCCAGAAAAGUGAAUAAGAGAGACACAGAUAAUGACCAUAUUGGUCCUAAUUGAAAAUAAUUUUGAUCUAAAAAAGUUUAAAAACCAAAGAGAAAAGAGUCGAGAACGUUUGUUUGAAAAAAUGGCAAUUAAUGACGUUACAUUAGUGGCAUGCAUGUACACCGAUGGUUCGGACAAUCGAACCUGAAAGAAAGGCCAAUCAGUAGAAUGGGUCUUCCUUUAAAAAGAUCUACAUACUUAAAAAAAAUUGAAGCAUUUGGAAUGGUAAUUCCAAUCAUUUACUUAAAUCAGAACAAUUCACUGCAGUUACGCUUGAAAACUAAAGGAAUUACAGUUGCUUCAAAUUGAAUGGCGACAGUUCUUUAUGCAGGGGAUGCAUGGAAGCAGAAGAAACGCAAUAGCAUAUGCUUCCAGAGUGUAUGAGCGUGGCGGAACAACGGGAAGAAAUUCUCCUAUCACCAGAAUCGUUCCCGAAUGCCUGCAGUAGUCUGAAAAGGCUGCUAUAAUUCUGGGACAGUCUGGGCAGGUUAUUCCAAUCAAGAGGUCAACUGCGCAAACAGCUAGUACAAACAGUAGUUUGACUGACAAACUAAUUUAAGACGAAAUAUUUAUGUUUUUCGAUACAUUUGGGAGUUUAUAAUAAAAUAUAAUUCAUUACUAUUAUGAGAGAUUUAGCAAUAAAUGACUUUGAAAUUUCAA
This is a long non-coding RNA of Leptidea sinapis, 709 nucleotides long. RefSeq lists it as uncharacterized. The record is from RefSeq and is a predicted model, not a curated record. The transcript has 2 exons. NCBI's taxonomy places the organism in Eukaryota, Metazoa, Arthropoda, Insecta, Lepidoptera, Pieridae.